This 538-nucleotide ribosomal RNA is filed under the name uncultured bacterium. RNAcentral's name for it is "partial 16S ribosomal RNA". It matches the Rfam family "Bacterial small subunit ribosomal RNA", at positions 355 to 909 of the family's 1533-position model. The record is from RNAcentral.
UGGGGAAUAUUGCACAAUGGGCGAAAGCCUGAUGCAGCAACGCCGCGUGAGUGAUGAAGGCCUUCGGGUUGUAAAGCUCUGUCUUUUGGGACGAUAAUGACGGUACCAAAGGAGGAAGCCACGGCUAACUACGUGCCAGCAGCCGCGGUAAUACGUAGGUGGCAAGCGUUGUCCGGAUUUACUGGGCGUAAAGGAUGCGUAGGCGGAUUUUUAAGUGAGAUGUGAAAUACCCGGGCUUAACUUGGGUGCUGCAUUUCAAACUGGGAGUCUAGAGUGCGGGAGAGGAGAAUGGAAUUCCUAGUGUAGCGGUGAAAUGCGUAGAGAUUAGGAAGAACACCAGUGGCGAAGGCGAUUCUCUGGACCGUAACUGACGCUGAGGCAUGAAAGCGUGGGUAGCAAACAGGAUUAGAUACCCUGGUAGUCCACGCCGUAAACGAUGAGUACUAGGUGUAGGAGGUAUCGACCCCUUCUGUGCCGCAGUUAACACAAUAAGUACUCCGCCUGGGAAGUACGAUCGCAAGAUUAAAACUCAAAUGAA